Anas platyrhynchos (mallard) is the source of this 410-nucleotide long non-coding RNA. RefSeq lists it as uncharacterized. The record is from RefSeq and is a predicted model, not a curated record. Lineage: Eukaryota; Metazoa; Chordata; Aves; Anseriformes; Anatidae.
AGAGGUGGAAAAACAAAACAAAACAAAACAACAAAAAAAAAAGAUAAGUAGUUCUGGUGUAAUUCUGAAUUUACUCCAAUACACCUCAGGAAUUAUACAGAAUGAAGUAUACCAUGAAAUCGUAGCAAGAACAAACUUAUUCCCAGAAAUGACCAUAUAAAUAUAGGAAAACAGUGAGCUUUCAGCGCCAAGUGGAAAUUUUACCAUUGUGAUUGCCAUUUCUGAAAACUCUGGAGAGAGCCUGUGACAGUUGCUUCUUGCAGAUCCUUUCUGGGACAGCUGGAUGGCCCUGAGAUGUCACCCUUCUUAAGGUAACUCUGAUGUGUAACCUACAUUGCUCUUUGCACUUUGUAAGGUGUCUCAGGGUAGGAGACACAGGUUCUGGUUACAAAUUUGAUAGAAAAACUUCC